Molecule: non-coding RNA, 737 nt
Organism: Pelobates cultripes (western spadefoot toad)
Lineage: Eukaryota; Metazoa; Chordata; Amphibia; Anura; Pelobatidae
Source: the annotation of a GenBank genome assembly
CUAAAUUAUUUGCACAGUAAAUUUCAUAUUUUUUUUAUUUUUUUUUCAUUGGAGGUCUGACAAUUAAUUUAUUGUAUCAAAGCGGUAUGAGUGUACACUGAUAAUAUACUUUUCACUCGUACCUCGGUUCUGCAGCCUUUUUGUCAUUAUUGAUAUUCAACCCAUUACACACAGGGUGCAGAAAUUGGGGAGCUGAUCUGACAAGCAUUUCCCCCCUUGUUUACAUCUACUAGCCAUACAUUUGUUUAUUUAAACCUCUGUGCCCACAACUAAAGGAUAAGAAUCUCACUCUUUGUGGAUAUUGGGUGCAAAUUGAAACUGCCGCUUUCAAUUUUUAACACCUCUAAUGGCAAUCACUAGUGGCCACUAGAGGUGCUAACCAAUCUGGUAUUCAGCGUCUCCACUCUCCGCAUAGCUAUGCACUGAUUUAAUGCCUCUCUAUGAGGAGACGCUAAUUUGCUCAACACAGCAUUUUGCUGCGUGUGCUCAAUAGCCUACCAAUACUCUCCUGUGGGAAUGCUUUGAAUUGGCUGAGAUCAUCACGACCGGCUCGGGGAAAAAGUGAAGGAGCACAGAAAUGGUACCUAAAUAGUUAUUUUAACACUAUAGUGUCAGGAAUAUAUGUUUAUGUUUCUGACACUGGUGUUCCUUUAUUUACCCACUAGUAUCUCAUGCUGUUUUGGUUUUUGAGUUAAGGGUUUUGUCAAAAACAUUGUGCAGUUAUUCAGUAAAUGGUG